UUCACAGUCUGUAAGUAAUAUAGGCCUAUACAAUCUUUGGUAAGGGGGGAUUUUUACCAACUUCAGCCUUGCCUAUAUACCUGUAAGCCAAAGCCACUCAUUUUUGGGGGAUUUUAUCACCAACAAAUUUGGCAAGCGCGCACCUCGCUGCAGGACAGAGUCAGAGGAGGUGUCCUGAUUUCUGAUUCAACACCAACUGUGACUGAAGUCCAUGAAGACGCGCAGAGGGCACGAGGGAGGACACGCGCUUCCACACAGAUCAUCACCUUCAUCAUCAUCUUCCUCAUCCACCGUGAAGUGGAAACUUAUUCCUCAUUUUUUUCUGUUACACUGUGUCUCCUCAGGUCCCGUGUGUGUGUCUACUGUGGUUUUAAUCCUGCGUGGUGGUCCCGCUCCUCACUGGCCUUUACCGUGCUGCUGG
This is a long non-coding RNA of Epinephelus lanceolatus (giant grouper), 421 nucleotides long. RefSeq lists it as uncharacterized. Lineage: Eukaryota; Metazoa; Chordata; Actinopteri; Perciformes; Serranidae. The record is from RefSeq and is a predicted model, not a curated record.